AAACAUGGCUACCUGGGGGACUUCCUGUCAUACUGGACUACAAAUAUGGCUACUUGGGGACUUCCUGUCACCCAGGUGCCAGACUGAUUACAAACAUUACAAAUGAGAGGAUAGUCUCCUGGAAAUCAGCUGUGAGAGGCCUGAGCUGAGUGAGGAUUCCUGAGUGAGCCACACAUAUAACACUGACAGAUGCAGAGCUGUUAAGGAUUACCGAGCCAUUGGUGAAGAGUACCAACUGUGAUGGUGGAUGGAAAUCUAUCUACUAUAGGGGUGGUUGGGAAGUAACUGGCUGGGGACUGGAGUUAUGCCACACUCGGGGAAUCCGCCUAACUCCUGAAGAAAGGAGCAAGCGUAUGUGAGAGCCCUUGUGCUUAUACUGUGGUCGGCCUGGCCACAUUCAAGGUUCCUGCCCCAAUUGUCCACCCAGCCGAUCAAGCUCGUUGCUUCCCUGCAACUCGUGGGUGGCAGUAUCUGCUGUAGAUGGACGUCCAUUGGGGACCACUGGGAUCCAGUAUCUCAUUCCAAACGUUACGCUCACCAUCCAGCUCAACCUCCAGGAGACGUACGCCUGUUUAACUUAUUUGACACAAGAUGUAUUUUAUUUUGAAAGGCACUUGUGUUGCUGUCAAAAAUAAAAAUAAGUGAAAACUGUUUUGGUAAAAAAUAUAACAAUGCUAUAAUUCAACUAUUAUAGGUAUUGUGAAGAAAUGUCUCUUGUAGUUUUAAAGGUUGCAUACCCUUGAACAAGGUGA
Long non-coding RNA from Oryzias melastigma (Indian medaka), 752 nucleotides. RefSeq lists it as uncharacterized. The record is from RefSeq and is a predicted model, not a curated record. The transcript is spliced from 3 exons. NCBI's taxonomy places the organism in Eukaryota, Metazoa, Chordata, Actinopteri, Beloniformes, Adrianichthyidae.